ACGGGAGGCAGCAGUGGGGAAUAUUGGGCAAUGGGCGCAAGCCUGACCCAGCGACGCCGCGUGAGGGGAGAAGGUCUUCGGAUUGUAAACCUCUUUCAGUAGGGAAGACCAAGAGACGGUACCUGCAGAAGAAGUCACGGCUAACUACGUGCCAGCAGCCACGGUAAUACGUAGGUGGCGAGCGUUAUCCGGAAUUACUGGGUGUAAAGGGUGUGUAGGCGGAGAGGCAAGUCAGGCGUGAAAUACUCGGGCUCAACCCGGGAACUGCGCUUGAAACUGUUUCCCUUGAGAGUGGGAGAGGUAAACGGAAUUCCUGGUGUAGUAGUGAAAUGCGUAGAUAUCAGGAGGAACACCGGUGGCGAAGGCGGUUUACUGGACCACAACUGACGCUGAGACACGAAAGCGUGGGGAGCAAACAGGAUUAGAUACCCUGGUA
RNAcentral lists this ribosomal RNA (436 nucleotides) under uncultured Oscillospiraceae bacterium. Its description in RNAcentral is "bacterial SSU rRNA". It matches the Rfam family "Bacterial small subunit ribosomal RNA", at positions 341 to 792 of the family's 1533-position model. The record is from RNAcentral. Lineage: Bacteria; Bacillati; Bacillota; Clostridia; Eubacteriales; Oscillospiraceae.